UCUCCAUAGUUUUAUCUUUUCCAGAAUAUCAUAUAACUAAAAUCAUUCAGUAGAUUUUCAGAUUGGCUUAUUUUACCCAGGAACAUGCGCUUGACGUUCUUCUAUGUGUUUUUGUAGCUGGUAGCUAAUUUCUUUCUAUCACUAAUAUUUGAUUGCAUGAAUGUACCGCAGUUUGGUUUUCCAUUCACUUUUUCAAGGACAUCUUGAUUGUUACCACAUUUAGGCAGUUAUGAAUAAAGCUGAUUACUCAAAGUUGGAUUUUGAUUUAACUAGGAAUCCUGGAGCUGUGAGAUAAUGUGGAAAAUACAUACAUUUUUAAUAUGUGCUAUUUACCUUGAUUCUGUAAGGCCUGAUUUUUAAUACCGAAGGAUCAUCUUUAUUGACAGAAAUCUGAAUUCAAGGGACAUGGAGGAUGCCUAUCUAAAUCAUUUUACUUAGAUUAUUAGGAGUGAGAGAUUUUUAUUUAUCAUCAAUUUCUCGGGGACUUGGAGAACCUUUAUGUCUAGCUAACGGUUUGUAAAUACACCAAUCAGCACUCUGUAUCUAGCUAAUCUAGUGGGGAAGUGGAGAACCUUUCACCAAUUCCAGACACACCAUGAUUAGCUAUAUGGAUCUGAAAAGCCUUUUAGCCCUUUUAAAGGGGAAUAAUGACAGACUCUUUCUUGAUAAUUACGUGUGUUAUGUGUGUCUUAAUCUACGACUUUUAACAACAAAAGACCUUUCCCCUGUACCCCCACUGCUUACAAUCUGGGGAAUUCUGAACAUGUGCAAAAUGUUAGUAUUAUAUAUACCAAUGUUGAGCCGUUCAGUAAAUAGAUACUGGUUGAAUAGCUACUAGGUGCUAGCGAUGUCAAUAAAUAAGACGGAGACCACUGACCAUGGCGCUCGUACAUUAUGGCAGGACAAGGGGACAAUAAUCAACAUCCAGAAUACAUGCACAAACGAUGCAUGACGCUAGAGUGUGAUCCAUGUGUGAUCUAAAGUUAAAGGAAAAGAACACUUGUAUUUUGUUUAUAUUGUUUGACCAACUACCAGCUUCAAUUAAAAUUCUUAGCUGGAAACACUCACUCUAAGGUCAAGGAAAUCAAAAUAAGAUAUUACUUAUCCUACUCUAAAGCAAUAGCUGGAGCUACUGGAAUUACUUUGGUACCUUAAUAGCUGACACAUUUA
This 1170-nucleotide long non-coding RNA is filed under the name Pan troglodytes (chimpanzee). RNAcentral describes it as "long non-coding RNA NONPTRT007592". Lineage: Eukaryota; Metazoa; Chordata; Mammalia; Primates; Hominidae. The record is from RNAcentral.